AAAGAUAUGUAUUGAAGGAAGGAAAGUAAGAAAAAACGAGAUUCAAUUUUGUGGACUUGACCAAUUAGCAUUCACUUGGGAUCACGAAAAUCUACCUGUCUUUGCCUUGGCAAGCCCAAAUCAAUUGUAGCCACAGAUGAUGGUCUUGUAUCCUGGAUUAAUCUUUGGUUUUGAAGGACGCUACCUCUAAGAACCGUCAGAAAUAGAAAUAUGGAAUUAGUGAAGGUAAAAGAACAACAUUAAAUUUCAGAGAAACUUACAAGCAAUCAAUUGUGUAACACUACCUGAUGAUGGAAUACAACAGUAGAAAAAUCCCAGGUUAGAGCAUCUUCUUCAGGUAAAUAUUUUACCAUUAUAGGCAUUUUGCAAUUUGGUUAAACACGACCCUUCAAUUACAAUCAAUGUUUGUGAAAGAAAAUUAUUUCGCAAAAAAUUUAUCCUCCAAUAAAUUGGAAGGAAUUAUGACAUAAUGGUAGCUCCAAAUAGAG
RNAcentral lists this long non-coding RNA (488 nucleotides) under Olea europaea (common olive). RNAcentral's name for it is "long non-coding RNA (OEUR_LNC009335)". The record is from RNAcentral. Lineage: Eukaryota; Viridiplantae; Streptophyta; Magnoliopsida; Lamiales; Oleaceae.